This 1584-nucleotide ribosomal RNA is filed under the name Staphylococcus pseudintermedius. Its description in RNAcentral is "partial 23S ribosomal RNA". It matches the Rfam family "Bacterial large subunit ribosomal RNA", at positions 1239 to 2821 of the family's 2925-position model. Lineage: Bacteria; Bacillati; Bacillota; Bacilli; Caryophanales; Staphylococcaceae. The record is from RNAcentral.
UUCUAAGGGCGUUGAAGCAUGAUCGCAAGGACAUGUGGAGCGCUUAGAAGUGAGAAUGCCGGUGUGAGUAGCGAAAGACGGGUGAGAAUCCCGUCCACCGAUUGACUAAGGUUUCCAGAGGAAGGCUCGUCCGCUCUGGGUUAGUCGGGUCCUAAGCUGAGGCCGACAGGCGUAGGCGAUGGAUAACAGGUUGAUAUUCCUGUACCACCAUUAUUCGUUUUAAGCGAUGGGGGGACGCAGUAGGAUAGGCGAAGCGUGCUGUUGGAGUGCACGUCCAAGCAGUGAGAUUGAGUGUUAGGCAAAUCCGGCACUCUUAAGAUUGAGCUGUGAUGGGGAGAGGAACUUGUUCCUCGAGUCGUUGAUUUCACACUGCCGAGAAAAGCCUCUAGCUAGAAUAACGGUGCCCGUACCGCAAACCGACACAGGUAGUCAAGAUGAGAAUUCUAAGGUGAGCGAGCGAACUCUCGUUAAGGAACUCGGCAAAAUGACCCCGUAACUUCGGGAGAAGGGGUGCUCUUUGAGGUUCACGCUUCGAAGAGCCGCAGUGAAUAGGCCCAAGCGACUGUUUAUCAAAAACACAGGUCUCUGCUAAACCGUAAGGUGACGUAUAGGGGCUGACGCCUGCCCGGUGCUGGAAGGUUAAGAGGAGUGGUUAGCGCAAGCGAAGCUACGAAUCGAAGCCCCAGUAAACGGCGGCCGUAACUAUAACGGUCCUAAGGUAGCGAAAUUCCUUGUCGGGUAAGUUCCGACCCGCACGAAAGGCGUAACGAUUUGGGCACUGUCUCAACGAGAGACUCGGUGAAAUCAUAGUACCGGUGAAGAUGCCGGUUACCCGCGACAGGACGGAAAGACCCCGUGGAGCUUUACUGUAGCCUGAUAUUGAAAUUCGGUACAGUUUGUACAGGAUAGGUAGGAGCCUUAGAAGCGUGAGCGCUAGCUUACGUGGAGGCAUUGGUGGGAUACUACCCUAAUUGUAUUGGAUUUCUAACCCGCAGCACUUAUCGUGCUGGGAGACAGUGUCAGGCGGGCAGUUUGACUGGGGCGGUCGCCUCCUAAAGAGUAACGGAGGCGCUCAAAGGUUCCCUCAGAAUGGUUGGAAAUCAUUCAUAGAGUGUAAAGGCAUAAGGGAGCUUGACUGCGAGACCUACAAGUCGAGCAGGGUCGAAAGACGGACUUAGUGAUCCGGUGGUUCCGCAUGGAAGGGCCAUCGCUCAACGGAUAAAAGCUACCCCGGGGAUAACAGGCUUAUCUCCCCCAAGAGUUCACAUCGACGGGGAGGUUUGGCACCUCGAUGUCGGCUCAUCGCAUCCUGGGGCUGUAGUCGGUCCCAAGGGUUGGGCUGUUCGCCCAUUAAAGCGGUACGCGAGCUGGGUUCAGAACGUCGUGAGACAGUUCGGUCCCUAUCCGUCGUGGGCGUAGGAAAUUUGAGAGGAGCUGUCCUUAGUACGAGAGGACCGGGAUGGACAUACCUCUGGUGUACCAGUUGUCGUGCCAACGGCAUAGCUGGGUAGCUAUGUAUGGACGGGAUAAGUGCUGAAAGCAUCUAAGCAUGAAGCCCCCCUCGAGAUGAGAUUUCCCAACUUC